UUGACCUCAAAUCAGGUAGGAUUACCCGCUGAACUUAAGCAUAUCAAUAAGCGGAGGAAAAGAAACCAACUGGGAUUACCUUAGUAACGGCGAGUGAAGCGGUAAAAGCUCAAAUUUGAAAUCUGGUACUUUCAGUGCCCGAGUUGUAAUUUGUAGAAUUUGUCUUUGAUUAGGUCCUUGUCUAUGUUCCUUGGAACAGGACGUCAUAGAGGGUGAGAAUCCCGUUUGGCGAGGAUACCUUUUCUCUGUAAGACUUUUUCGAAGAGUCGAGUUGUUUGGGAAUGCAGCUCAAAGUGGGUGGUAAAUUCCAUCUAAAGCUAAAUAUUGGCGAGAGACCGAUAGCGAACAAGUACAGUGAUGGAAAGAUGAAAAGAACUUUGAAAAGAGAGUGAAAAAGUACGUGAAAUUGUUGAAAGGGAAGGGCAUUUGAUCAGACAUGGUGUUUUUUGCAUGCACUCGCCUCUCGUGGGCUUGGGCCUCUCAAAAAUUUCACUGGGCCAACAUCAAUUCUGGCAGCAGGAUAAAUCAUUAAGAAUGUAGCUACUUCGGUAGUGUUAUAGCUUUUUGGAAUACUGUUAGCCGGGAUUGAGGACUGCGCUU
RNAcentral lists this ribosomal RNA (600 nucleotides) under Hanseniaspora uvarum. Its description in RNAcentral is "LSU rRNA". It matches the Rfam family "Eukaryotic large subunit ribosomal RNA", at positions 1 to 602 of the family's 3401-position model. Lineage: Eukaryota; Fungi; Ascomycota; Saccharomycetes; Saccharomycodales; Saccharomycodaceae. The record is from RNAcentral.